GGUGGGUUUCUUUUUUCCCCUUCAAAUUUUAGAUCCCAUUUCUGAUUAUAUUUAAAGCCUUAAGUUCUUAUUCUGAGAAUAUUGUCUGUGCUAACUCAAAUAAUGAUCUUUCUGGACUAGAUAUAUCCAGAUGAAAAGGCACCAACAGAAGCAAAUAAACUCUAAGGAACAAAGGUUGUUUUUUUUUUUUUUUUUUUUUUUUUUUUUCAGGUAUCCUUGCUAUAAUGCAGAACAAAAAAUUAAAAUUUCCUACAUCGUAUGAUGUUCAUGUUAGCGGGUCUAAGAUUAAGCACAUGGUAUUUAUAAGCUAAAAUUAAUUCAAAAGGCAAGAAUGUCUUAAUGUCUUCGUUCUUCAAUUUUGUAUUCUUCAAGAAUGUAUUAAUAUAAAAACUGUGGCUAACCAGUUCUUAUUCUAUAGAACUGUAUUGACACCUGUAGUGGAUCGUGUUACUUCUUCAUUCUCAUCCAAUUUUAGUAGAAUCAAAUUGCUUUUUUAUUUUCAUAUUACUAUCUACUAUAGAUUCUUCAGAUUUAGAAAAUAUGAGUAUGAUAUAUAAAGACCACUAGACUUUUAAAACCCUUUCUGUGAAUUUAUGCAUAUAUGUAGAUAUGUAAAAACAUUGUUGAUUUCCAAUUCUGUUUUUCCAUAGGAAUGAAAUUUUUAUAGACACUGUUCUUUUUAACUUAAAUAUUUUAACAUAAAUUAUUUACAUGGAUUUUUAGUACAAUUCAUUCUUAUGUGUGCCCCGUAAUCAUGUUUUUGUGAGAAGAUUACUUUCUUACUGAUACAGUAAAGAGGAAUAAAAAAAUUAGGAACUGAAAUAAACAAGGGUAAACAGAAGGAGACUGCUGAUCUUGAGAUCAGAACAGUAUAUGUUAAGACAAGAGAAAAAAACUUAAACUGAAGAAGGAAUAUGAACUAUAAAAUAGAAAUCUUUGUAAUUGUAAACUGAUGGGAAAGGCACCCAGGCCUUUCUCCAUUAGUUACUUUUUCCUUUAGGCUUAAAAUCUUUCAUUCUAAUGGGCCAUUUUCUGCACUGUUUACUGAGGUAAAAAAUUCCUCUAAAGUCAAUCAUUGUUUUCCACUUUUUGGACUGUGCAUUUGGCAGAAUGCAGUACCUUUUCUGUGUUUUGAGAUGAACUAGCACAUGGCUUCUACAAGAUAGUUUUUAACUCGUUGGGGUCACUAAGAAUUACAUGAUGGUAUACUUCUUCCUAAAAUUUGUUAUGGUAGAUUUAGUGAGAAAUUAAAUCAAGAAAUCUCAUUGUAGCAUAUUUUAAUAAGUGAAUACCAAAUACAUAAAGUAAGAUAUAUAUAUAUAUAUUAAUAUAUAUGUAUAUCAGUUUGGAAAGAAAUAGUCUGUGGGGACCAUUACGGUAACAGAAUUGCAUUAUAUAUUACACAUUACGUGGAUGUUGGAAUGUAUCACCUGGGGGUCUCCAUUCAUUAGCAAUCAUGUCUGUAUAUAAAACUGUUUUUUUUUUUUUUUAACCAAACUAGCAUUUUAUUUUGUGAGUGACAAUUGACUGAUAUUUUUGAAUAAGUGUUAUCUGGGUUUUGGAAUUGUUCACUGAUCAGUUUGAGAAGGUAUGUUACCAGAAUUUUAGAGUUAACUCCAAUGUGAAAAAGUGUACACAAAAAGUAAUUCUUUUCUAGCUAUAAGAAUGUAAAAUACUUGCAUAUAGUGUAUAUAUUGUGUAACAUAUGUAUAUUUGGUCAUAAAGGCAUAGAAUUGGAAACAUUGUAAAAUUAAGCACUUUAAUUCCUAUUAAAUAUUAAGCAUUUGUAUCUUGUAAAUAAAUACAUC
This 1808-nucleotide long non-coding RNA is filed under the name Canis lupus familiaris (dog). RNAcentral's name for it is "lncRNA (ENSCAFG00845017091.1)". The record is from RNAcentral. Lineage: Eukaryota; Metazoa; Chordata; Mammalia; Carnivora; Canidae.